AUGGCUGCCGACGAGGACCGGCCGCUGAAGGCCGCACGCGCAGACGAGACGGAGGAGCACCGGCUGACGCCUGACCUGCCGGAAGACGUGCUCGCCGACGUCCUCCACCGCGUCCCGCCGCGCUGGCUCGCCGCCUCCCGCUGCGUCUGCAGGGCCUGGCGCGACGCGAUCGACGCCCACGGCCUCCUGCGUGCCGACCUGCUCCCGCUGUCGUUCGCCGGCCUCUUUGUUCACUUCAACGAGCACAAGUAUCCCGAGUUCUUCGCCCGCCCCUCCUCGGGAGAGGCUUCCCAUGCCGUCAGCGGCAACCUCAGCUUCCUGCCCUCCACCGCCCCUCAUGCCGGCACUAUAUGGGACAACUGCGAUGAUUGGCGCGACUACCGCGUCGAGGAUCACUGCAACGGGUUACUCCUGCUCAGUAAAAACUGUGUCGUUAACCCCGCCACCCGUCAGUGGGACGCUUUCCCACCGUGCCCGGCCCAAGAUUGUACUAGAUGGAACAUGCGGUACAGUCGGCAUUUGGUGUAUGAUCCGAUGAUAUCCACGCACUACGAGGUGUUUAUGAUCCCAUGUUUGCAUGAUAAGGGUCGUGGUGGGGGAGACAAGGCAGACCGCUCGAUGGAGGAAUCUGAAUGGCCACCAUCUCCAUGCAAGAUGUAUAUGUUCUCAUCAAGGAUUCUGAAAAAAAUAACAUUUUUAAAACAUGAAUGA
This 711-nucleotide ribosomal RNA is filed under the name Triticum aestivum (bread wheat). RNAcentral's name for it is "partial small subunit ribosomal RNA". Lineage: Eukaryota; Viridiplantae; Streptophyta; Magnoliopsida; Poales; Poaceae. The record is from RNAcentral.